GGUUAAGCGACUAAGCGUACACGGUGGAUGCCCUGGCAGUCAGAGGCGAUGAAGGGCGUGCUAAUCUGCGAUAAGCGCCGGUAAGGUGAUAUGAACCGUUAUAACCGGCGAUACCCGAAUGGGGAAACCCAGUGUGACUCGUCACACUAUCAUUAACUGAAUCCAUAGGUUAAUGAGGCGAACCGGGGGAACUGAAACAUCUAAGUACCCCGAGGAAAAGAAAUCAACCGAGAUUCCCCCAGUAGCGGCGAGCGAACGGGGAGGAGCCCAGAGCCUGAAUCAGCAUGUGUGUUAGUGGAAGCGUCUGGAAAGGCGCGCGAUACAGGGUGACAGCCCCGUACACAAAAGCGCAUGUGCUGUGAGCUCGAUGAGUAGGGCGGGACACGUGGUAUCCUGUCUGAAUAUGGGGGGACCAUCCUCCAAGGCUAAAUACUCCUGACUGACCGAUAGUGAACCAGUACCGUGAGGGAAAGGCGAAAAGAACCCCGGCGAGGGGAGUGAAAAAGAACCUGAAACCGUGUACGUACAAGCAGUGGGAGCACCCUUUGGGGUGUGACUGCGUACCUUUUGUAUAAUGGGUCAGCGACUUAUAUUCUGUAGCAAGGUUAACCGUAUAGGGGAGCCGGAGGGAAACCGAGUCUUAACCGGGCGUUAAGUUGCAGGGUAUAGACCCGAAACCCGGUGAUCUAGCCAUGGGCAGGUUGAAGGUUGGGUAACACUAACUGGAGGACCGAACCGACUAAUGUUGAAAAAUUAGCGGAUGACCUGUGGCUGGGGGUGAAAGGCCAAUCAAACCGGGAGAUAGCUGGUUCUCCCCGAAAGCUAUUUAGGUAGCGCCUCGUGAAUUCAUCUCCGGGGGUAGAGCACUGUUUCGGCUAGGGGGCCAUCCCGGCUUACCAACCCGAUGCAAACUGCGAAUACCGGAGAAUGUUAUCACGGGAGACACACGGCGGGUGCUAACGUCCGUCGUGAAGAGGGAAACAACCCAGACCGCCAGCUAAGGUCCCAAAGUCAUGGUUAAGUGGGAAACGAUGUGGGAAGGCCCAGACAGCCAGGAUGUUGGCUUAGAAGCAGCCAUCAUUUAAAGAAAGCGUAAUAGCUCACUGGUCGAGUCGGCCUGCGCGGAAGAUGUAACGGGGCUAAACCAUGCACCGAAGCUGCGGCAGCGACGCUGAUGCGUUGUUGGGUAGGGGAGCGUUCUGUAAGCCUGCGAAGGUGGCCUGUGAGGGUUGCUGGAGGUAUCAGAAGUGCGAAUGCUGACAUAAGUAACGAUAAAGCGGGUGAAAAGCCCGCUCGCCGGAAGACCAAGGGUUCCUGUCCAACGUUAAUCGGGGCAGGGUGAGUCGACCCCUAAGGCGAGGCCGAAAGGCGUAGUCGAUGGGAAACGGGUUAAUAUUCCCGUACUUGGUGUUACUGCGAAGGGGGGACGGAGAAGGCUAUGUUGGCCGGGCGACGGUUGUCCCGGUUUAAGCGUGUAGGUGUGUGUUCCAGGUAAAUCCGGUUCACUUUAACACUGAGGCGUGAUGACGAGGCACUACGGUGCUGAAGCAACAAAUGCCCUGCUUCCAGGAAAAGCCUCUAAGCAUCAGGUAACAUCAAAUCGUACCCCAAACCGACACAGGUGGUCAGGUAGAGAAUACCAAGGCGCUUGAGAGAACUCGGGUGAAGGAACUAGGCAAAAUGGUGCCGUAACUUCGGGAGAAGGCACGCUGACA
Molecule: ribosomal RNA, 1715 nt
Filed under: Salmonella enterica
Lineage: Bacteria; Pseudomonadati; Pseudomonadota; Gammaproteobacteria; Enterobacterales; Enterobacteriaceae
Description: partial 23S ribosomal RNA
Rfam family: Bacterial large subunit ribosomal RNA
Source: RNAcentral